RNAcentral lists this ribosomal RNA (253 nucleotides) under uncultured bacterium. RNAcentral describes it as "partial 16S ribosomal RNA". It matches the Rfam family "Bacterial small subunit ribosomal RNA", at positions 524 to 776 of the family's 1533-position model. The record is from RNAcentral.
UACGUAGGGCGCAAGCGUUGUCCGGAAUUAUUGGGCGUAAAGAGCUCGUAGGCGGUCUGUCGCGUCUGCUGUGAAAACUCAGGGCUUAACCCUGAGCUUGCAGUGGGUACGGGCAGACUAGAGUGCGGUAGGGGAGACUGGAAUUUCUGGUGUAGCGGUGAAAUGCGCAGAUAUCAGGAGGAACACCGGUGGCGAAGGCGGGUCUCUGGGCCGUAACUGACGCUGAGGAGCGAAAGCAUGGGGAGCGAACAGG